This 65-nucleotide transfer RNA is filed under the name Paratrichocladius tamaater. RNAcentral's name for it is "tRNA-Thr". The record is from RNAcentral. Lineage: Eukaryota; Metazoa; Arthropoda; Insecta; Diptera; Chironomidae.
AGUUUUAAUAAUUUAAUAAAAAUAUCGGUCUUGUAAAUCGAAUUUAAGAAUUUUCUUUUAAAACU